RNAcentral lists this long non-coding RNA (339 nucleotides) under Mytilus galloprovincialis (Mediterranean mussel). Lineage: Eukaryota; Metazoa; Mollusca; Bivalvia; Mytilida; Mytilidae. The record is from RNAcentral.
CAUGUCUGAAGAAUACCGAUAAAAUCAUAACGUAGAAACUGCUGUCUCGUGUGUGUAUUGAUUUUACUUUCCGCGUAGCGCAGAUCCGCGAAGUAGUUUUUGUUUGUCUUUCAAAUGAAGUUGAAUUAUUUGAUUUAUCGAUGAAAAUUCAGUGCAUUUUUUAUUCAAGCUGUAUGCUAUUAAAAUAGAAGAGCUCAAAAUUUCAAAAGCAUCUUUCUAUUAUUAGUUUUCAAACAACAGUACUACAUUAUCUAGAAGUAGGACACACUUCCUAAAGUAAGUUAGGCUGUCUCUUUUCCGGUUAGGCCGAUGCCUUAAGAAACUUUAUUGCUAUAGCAA